RNAcentral lists this ribosomal RNA (452 nucleotides) under uncultured Porphyromonadaceae bacterium. RNAcentral's name for it is "partial 16S ribosomal RNA". It matches the Rfam family "Bacterial small subunit ribosomal RNA", at positions 341 to 792 of the family's 1533-position model. Lineage: Bacteria; Pseudomonadati; Bacteroidota; Bacteroidia; Bacteroidales; Porphyromonadaceae. The record is from RNAcentral.
ACGGGAGGCGCAGUGAGGAAUAUUGGCCAAUGGGCGCAGGCCUGAACCAGCCAAGUCGCGUGAGGGAGGACGGUCCUACGGAUUGUAAACCUCUUUUGUCGGGGAGUAACGUGCGGGACGUGUCCCGUAUUGAGAGUACCCGAAGAAAAAGCAUCGGCUAACUCCGUGCCAGCAGCCGCGGUAAUACGGAGGAUGCGAGCGUUAUCCGGAUUUAUUGGGUUUAAAGGGUGCGUAGGCGGCGUGCCAAGUCAGCGGUCAAAGUUCCGGGCUCAACCCGGUGAUGCCGUUGAAACUGGUGUGAUCGAGUGCGUGCGAGGAAGGCGGAAUGCGUUGUGUAGCGGUGAAAUGCAUAGAUAUAACGCAGAACCCCGAUUGCGAAGGCAGCUUUCCAGCACGCUACUGACGCUGAGGCACGAAAGCGUGGGGAUCGAACAGGAUUAGAUACCCUGGUA